RNAcentral lists this ribosomal RNA (822 nucleotides) under Triticum aestivum (bread wheat). RNAcentral describes it as "partial small subunit ribosomal RNA". The record is from RNAcentral. Lineage: Eukaryota; Viridiplantae; Streptophyta; Magnoliopsida; Poales; Poaceae.
AUGAGCGAUGAUGAGGAGCAUGGUCUGAACGAGGAUACCACUGAUAGCCACAGCGGCAAGGGAAAGAAGGGCUCAACAUGGCAGCGGAUGAAGUGGACCGAUUCAAUGGUUAAGCUUUUAGUUACUUUAGCGUCCUACACUGGUGAGGAUCCAGGAGCUGAUUUAGGAUGUGGAAGGAGGAACUGUGCAAUGGUGCAUAAGAAAGGCAAGUGGAAGGCAAUAUCAAAGGUGAUGGGCGAGCGAGGUUGCAAUGUGUCACCGCAGCAGUGCGAGGAUAAGUUCAAUGACCUCAAUAAGAGAUACAAAAGGCUUACAGAUAUCCUUGGUCGGGGUAGAACUUGCAAGGUUGUGGAGAAUCCAGCACUUCUGGAUCGCAUGGAUAAUCUCUCUGACAAGUUGAAAGAUGACGCAAGGAAGACACUGAGCUCAAGGCACUUAUUCUAUGAGGAGAUGUGCUCCUACCAUAAUAAUAACCGGAUUAGUUUGCCUGAAGAUCCUGCACUUCAGCAUUCACUGCAGUUUGCUCUUAGGUGCAAAGAGGAAAAUGAUAUGAUGCGAGGAGCAAGUGGAGAUGCCGAUGAAGAUGACCAGAGUUCAGACUCUGAUUAUGAGGAAGAUAAUGAUGAGGACCAUCAUGUGGCACAUAGCAAUAAAGGGGGCUUACCCAUGCAAAAGAAGAUGCGGUAUACAGCAGAUCACGAGGAUGCUAGUUUUGGGAACUCUUUGAGUGCACACGAAUGUAGCCGGAGGACUAAUCCCCAUGGAAUCGCACUAGAUAUCAACGAAGUUGUUCCAGAUGGAACGAGCUUGGCUUUGACAUAG